GGUGGUUCAGUGGUAGAGCACUUGCCUUGCAAGCAUGAGGCCCUGGGUUCAAUUCCUCAGCACCA
This 65-nucleotide transfer RNA is filed under the name Dipodomys ordii (Ord's kangaroo rat). It matches the Rfam family "tRNA". From Rfam's summary of the family: Transfer RNA (tRNA) molecules are approximately 80 nucleotides in length. Their secondary structure includes four short double-helical elements and three loops (D, anti-codon, and T loops). Further hydrogen bonds mediate the characteristic L-shaped molecular structure. tRNAs have two regions of fundamental functional importance: the anti-codon, which is responsible for specific mRNA codon recognition, and the 3' end, to which the tRNAs corresponding amino acid is attached (by aminoacyl-tRNA synthetases). tRNAs cope with the degeneracy of the genetic code in two manners: having more than one tRNA (with a specific anti-codon) for a particular amino acid; and 'wobble' base-pairing, i.e. permitting non-standard base-pairing at the 3rd anti-codon position. Lineage: Eukaryota; Metazoa; Chordata; Mammalia; Rodentia; Heteromyidae. The record is from Rfam by way of RNAcentral.